UUGAACGCCGGCGGCAGGCCUAACACCUGCAAGUCGCGCGGAUGAAGGGAGCUUGCUCCUGGAUUCAGCGGCGGACGGGUGAGUAAUGCCUAGGAAUCUGCCUGGUAGUGGGGGAUAACGUCCGGAAACGGGCGCUAAUACCGCAUACGUCCUGAGGGAGAAAGUGGGGGAUCUUCGGACCUCACGCUAUCAGAUGAGCCUAGGUCGGAUUAGCUAGUUGGUGGGGUAAAGGCCUACCAAGGCGACGAUCCGUAACUGGUCUGAGAGGAUGAUCAGUCACACUGGAACUGAGACACGGUCCAGACUCCUACGGGAGGCAGCAGUGGGGAAUAUUGGACAAUGGGCGAAAGCCUGAUCCAGCCAUGCCGCGUGUGUGAAGAAGGUCUUCGGAUUGUAAAGCACUUUAAGUUGGGAGGAAGGGCAGUAAGUUAAUACCUUGCUGUUUUGACGUUACCAACAGAAUAAGCACCGGCUAACUUCGUG
Molecule: ribosomal RNA, 483 nt
Filed under: uncultured bacterium
Lineage: Bacteria
Description: partial 16S ribosomal RNA
Rfam family: Bacterial small subunit ribosomal RNA
Source: RNAcentral